ACUUCUAUGGUUUAGUGGUAAAGACAUUAGGUUUUCAACCUAAAGACGGGAGUUCAAGUCUCCUUAGGAGUG
Molecule: transfer RNA, 72 nt
Filed under: Axinella corrugata
Lineage: Eukaryota; Metazoa; Porifera; Demospongiae; Axinellida; Axinellidae
Description: tRNA-Glu
Rfam family: tRNA
About the family: Transfer RNA (tRNA) molecules are approximately 80 nucleotides in length. Their secondary structure includes four short double-helical elements and three loops (D, anti-codon, and T loops).
Source: RNAcentral